CUCUAAACUAGUGUAGUGUGUAAACUGGCGCAAAUGUUCAAGAAAUCGAAAAGAAAUUUUCGUCAAAGAGUCGCGACAAGUGAUUCUGACGCGGAAAAGAAUCACAUUGGAUUCUACCGGAGCCGAAAGAGCAAAAUAAACACAAAAUACCCAAAUCUUCCUUCGUGCUGACUGCUGAUUUUCGUCCACGAAGAAGGUAAUACGUUUUCGCGACUUAGAAUACCGGUUUAUAUAUACAUGUAGAGCGUCCAAAGGUUCACCUGACCACCACAACUCUUUUCGGAGUGUCUGAAGUUCGUGUACGUGCUGGGAAGCCACUUACAAUGAAACUGGGCAUUACCGGUUCUCCAACUCCCAUUGUCAUCUGGGCUAAAGAAGGAAAACCCAUUCCAAGGGCUCGCACCUCCAACACUCAUUACUAUACUACACUAGAGCUCCCAAAAGCAGAUCAUGGUGACACUGGAAACUACCUUGUGACUGUUGAAAACGAACAUGGCAGAGAUUCUGCAGAUAUUCCGGUCUUAGUUAUUGACAAGCCUGGACCCCCGGACGGUCCUUUGGAGGUCAGUGAUGCGUUUGCGGACUCCUGCCAAUUGGCUUGGAAACCACCUCAGGACAAAGGAAACUAACCAAUAAUCGUUACACAGUAGAAAAAUGCCAGGAGGGCUUGUACUUCUGGGAAAAGGUGCCUGGCAUGCCGAUGUGCAAGUCCAUAAUAGUCACUGGACUGAAGACUGGAGUCAAGUUCAAGUUCAGGGUCAUGGCUGAGAACAUAUACGGAAUAGGAGAGCCCUUAGAGACAGAUUUCCCAGUGUUAGUCAAGAAUCGAUUUGAGUCCCCAAAGGUUCACCUGACCAACACAUCUCUUUCUUGAGCGUCUGAAGUUUGUGUACGUGCUGGGGAGCCACUUAUGAUGAAACUGGGCAUUACCGGUUCUCCUACUCCCACUGUCAUCUGGACCAAAAAAGGAAAACCCAUCCCAAGGGCGCGCACCUCCAACACUAAUGACUGUACUACACUAGAGCUCCUAAAAGCACAUCAUGGGGACACUGGAAACUACCUUGUGAUUGUUAAAAACGAUCAUGGCAGAGAUUUUGCAGAUAUUCCGUUCAUCAUUAUUGACAAGUGUGGACCCCCCGAAGGUCCUCUGGAGGUCAGUGAUGUGUUUGCGGACUCCUGCUGAUUGGCAUGGAAACCACCUCAGGACAAAAGAAACUUACCAAUUAUCGGUUACACAGUAGAGAAAUGCCAGGAGGGCUCAGACAUACCGAUGUGCAAGUCCAGAAUAGUCACUGGACUGAAGACUGGAGUCAAGUUCAAGUUCAGGGUCAUGGCUGAGAACAUAUACGGAAUAGCAGAGCCCUUAGAGACAGACUGCCCAGUGUUAGUCAAGAAUCGAUUUGAGCCGCCUGCCAAGAAGACAGUAAUUUGGAAGAAGAUUCUGAAGAAGAUACACCAGUUGUUGAUACAGCUCUGUCCACAGCUACAACCAACAAGUCCAAACCCACAACCAGCCAGUCCAAAGCCACAACCAGCCAGUCCAAAGUUUCAACCAAAGCAACAACCAGCUUUGUCGGAAAGAAAGCGCAGAAAAGAAAAAUGUGGUCUGUUGAAGAACAAGCUGCUGUUGAGCGACAACUGGGAAAAUAUCUUCACACUUCAAAGCUGCCAGAUAAACACGAGAUUGAGGAGAGCCGAAAAAAAGAACCUGUAUUGUUGAACAGACCUUGGCAACAAGUGAAAAGCUACAUUAAAAUAUGUAAAGUUUCAAUGCAGAGAAGAUUAAACAGUGCAAACUAAACAAGCUGUGUGUUUUGUGUCAAGCCAGCAGGGGUGAACUACUGGUUUAUUUCCUUGAAAAGCAUGCCUUAGUUACAAGGCUUAUUGUGUAUAAACAUUCAUCACUAUUUAUCUUUUGUUCGUAUUUUACAUUAACAUUCGACCUUGUACUCAUGUCCUUCGGAUUUUUUGUUGCGCAUAAUCAAAAAGGAUAAAUGCUAGGAAUGAAACUUUACAAACAUUAAUAUCCCAGCAUGAGAACUUAUUCCCCUGUGUAUUUUGGUCCUUUUUUCUACAUAAUUGGAGUUAUGAGACAACUGGAAUAUAGGGGAAUCAGUGUCCUUAGGACACGUGUUGAAUUGUUCUGUUUUAUCUUCAUUUUAUAUGCGUGAUGUGCUCACAUAAAGUUUUGUUUUAUUUUUGGGACUGCUUUUCAUGUGAGUCCAAUUUCUGUAUUAUCUACAUGUAGUGCUCCAUCAAGGCCUUAAUGGAAGGUUGCCCCGCCCUUCCUUUCCAAUGAUUUGUAACUUGAUUUGUAACAUUAUUGACAGUGUGUUAUGGCGCAUAUGUAGUAGCAGCUGUUUUUCUUAGUAUAAAUUACUUUUUUGGAUUUGUGUUGCAUAUUACUCAAAAGGAUUUACUGCUAGAGUAGUAUACAUAUAAAUGUAUUGAUCAGCAUCUGCACUUUUAUUAUACGCUUUUGUAACAACAGGCAUGUUCUUUGUUAAAUUUAUUUUGCAAAAGUACAACAAACCUUUAACCCACAAUGGUAUCUUUAAGCAGCUUUUAGCUCCAUAUUUUGAAGAAAUGGCUUUUCUUCUUGCCCCAUCUUCAGCCUUUGAACUACAUGUAGCUUAAAGUUAAAACUUUUUCUGUAAGCUAGUUUCAUGUGAUUUCAAUGUCUGUAUUAUCUACAUGCAGUGCUCCAGCUAGGCCUUAAUGGAAGGGUGUCCCGCCCUGCCCUUCCGAAGUCCCGCCCUGCCCUUCUGAGGCCCCGCCCUGCCCUUCUGAGGCCCCGCCCUGCCCUUUUAUUAAAAAAAUGAGUUAAUAGCUUUUUUUUAUCUCCUAAAGAUGUUUCAUUAAUAAACCCAUAUGUUUUGUGCUGGGUUACUUGUUUGAAUAAUUAUAUUUCGUCAAUAUAAUGAUAAAUUGAUGACUGUAAUUGGUUUAUGUGUGGACUAUUUCUUAAUAUUUGAUGUGUUUAAUUUCACUAACUGUUACAAUUUAUAAGUUUCAAGAGAUAUAUAUGUUGGAGUGUGUUAUUGUAUGAGUGUUGGUAUUUUUCGCCUCAUUACGUGUGGACAUGAAUGUCAAUAGAUUAGAAUUAGAAGAUGAUAAUGUUGUACAUGAUCUCAUGACCAUACUAUCAUUUUGUUUUGACUUAUUAAUAUAAUGCAACAUACAUGUCGUCUACUGUUAUUACAUAAAUAUAGUACAACAUACAUGUCAUCUACUGAAUGUAAUAAUUUGUUUGACAGACAUUUUGUGGAUUUUUCAAGACAGCAUAUUUUCCAAAAUACAUAAAGAUCACUUACGUAACUUUUUGCAUUCAAAAUAUUUCAGUGUUACAAUUAUGGUAACUGCUUCUUUCUUAUUGUUUUAAAAAAGACAUCUCAAUUGAGAGUUGUGUUUUGUUUUACAAAUUUUAUUUUAAUACUAAUAAGAAAAUUGGAAUACCGAAAAAUAUUUAUUAUUUUAAUAAAACAGAUUUUUGCUUCUCCUGAAAAAAAAUGUCAGUAACACUACUUAUUGCAUUCAGAAAACAACAUGUGUUUACUCAUGUCAUUUUGCAAAAUUUGGUAAAAGCAUUAUUUAUACCAGAAAGGUUGUCCUAAUAAUUUAACAGUUGAUGUACGUCAUUUAAAUAAACACACAAAAGCUGAUAAGUCAUAUAACUGACAUUUUUAGCUUUAUAACAUUUAGUAGUACCUGAGUAG
This is an RNA transcript of Dreissena polymorpha, 3716 nucleotides long. It is a transcript of the gene named neuronal cell adhesion molecule-like, with no coding region annotated. The transcript is spliced from 10 exons. NCBI's taxonomy places the organism in Eukaryota, Metazoa, Mollusca, Bivalvia, Myida, Dreissenidae. The record is from RefSeq and is a predicted model, not a curated record.